UACGUAGGGUGCAAGCGUUGCCCGGAUUUAUUGGGCGUAAAGGGCGCGUAGGCGGGUGCUCAAGUCUGUGGUGAAAUCCUCCGGCUCAACCGGAGAACUGCCAUGGAUACUGGGCGUCUCGAGUGUGGUAGGGGUAUGCGGAACUAUCGGUGGAGCGGUGAAAUGCGUUGAUAUCGAUAGGAACUCCGGUGGCGAAGGCGGCGAUACUGGACCACCACUGACGCUGAUGCGCGAAAGCCAGGGGAGCAAACGGG
This 254-nucleotide ribosomal RNA is filed under the name uncultured bacterium. RNAcentral's name for it is "partial 16S ribosomal RNA". It matches the Rfam family "Bacterial small subunit ribosomal RNA", at positions 524 to 776 of the family's 1533-position model. The record is from RNAcentral.